GCAUCGGUAGUUCAGUGGUAAAAUACUCGCCUGCCACGCGGGUUCGAUUCCCGGCCGAUACA
This 62-nucleotide transfer RNA is filed under the name Cordylochernes scorpioides. RNAcentral describes it as "tRNA-Ser". Lineage: Eukaryota; Metazoa; Arthropoda; Arachnida; Pseudoscorpiones; Chernetidae. The record is from RNAcentral.